AUUUAGUUGGUUGAGUCCAGUGUCCAGUUUUGAUUGAGCAGUAACUCGGAAAGUAGUGUUCCGUUUGAUCAACAUAUUUAAAAAAAUUGUUUAACAAUCAGUAGCUACUGAAAGACCUAUAUCAUUGGAAAUUUCGUGGAUUCCGUAAGCCGGAAAUUUUUCCAUAAGCACUGAUUUAUACUUGAGAGACGUCGAUGUUGCCCAGUUCUUCGCGAUACGGUUCAACUUUCGACUACUGUGUCUACGUUGUGCUGAAAAAUUCGUCUAAGACUUUCAAUCAGUCGUCACUGUGCCUAGUUCAUCGCAGUACUUAUUCAACUUCCAACCACGAAGGGCAGGCGUUACAUGGCAUCGCACAAUUCGUUUACAGGUACUCUGAGAUGCUGUCGCCGCAGUUAUGACCCCCUGGACUUCCCC
Molecule: unclassified non-coding RNA, 417 nt
Filed under: Athalia rosae (coleseed sawfly)
Lineage: Eukaryota; Metazoa; Arthropoda; Insecta; Hymenoptera; Athaliidae
Description: misc RNA ENSAEAG00005007315.1
Source: RNAcentral